This 253-nucleotide ribosomal RNA is filed under the name uncultured bacterium. Its description in RNAcentral is "partial 16S ribosomal RNA". It matches the Rfam family "Bacterial small subunit ribosomal RNA", at positions 524 to 776 of the family's 1533-position model. The record is from RNAcentral.
UACGAAGGGUGCAAGCGUUACUCGGAAUUACUGGGCGUAAAGCGUGCGUAGGUGGUUUGUUAAGUCUGAUGUGAAAGCCCUGGGCUCAACCUGGGAAUUGCAUUGGAUACUGGCAGGCUAGAGUGCGGUAGAGGAUGGCGGAAUUCCCGGUGUAGCAGUGAAAUCCGUUGAUAUCAUGGGGAACACCAAAAGCGAAGGCAAUUCACUAGCGCAUUUCUGACGCUGAGACACGAAAGCGUGGGUAGCGAACGGG